GCUCCUGUAGUGUAGUCCGGUCAAGCACGAUGGCCUUUCGCGCCGUCAACCCGGGUCCAAAUCCCGGCGGGAGCA
This 75-nucleotide transfer RNA is filed under the name Candidatus Woesearchaeota archaeon. RNAcentral's name for it is "tRNA-Glu". It matches the Rfam family "tRNA". From Rfam's summary of the family: Transfer RNA (tRNA) molecules are approximately 80 nucleotides in length. Their secondary structure includes four short double-helical elements and three loops (D, anti-codon, and T loops). Lineage: Archaea; Nanobdellati; Candidatus Woesearchaeota. The record is from RNAcentral.